This 448-nucleotide ribosomal RNA is filed under the name uncultured bacterium. RNAcentral's name for it is "SSU rRNA". It matches the Rfam family "Bacterial small subunit ribosomal RNA", at positions 26 to 518 of the family's 1533-position model. The record is from RNAcentral.
AGAACGAACGCUGGCGGCAGGCUUAACACAUGCAAGUCGAACGCGUGUAGCAAUACACGAGUGGCGCACGGGUGAGUAACGCGUGGAUAUCUGCCUUUUGGUUCGGAAUAACCCCGGGAAACUGGGGCUAAUACCGGAUGGUUCCUACGGGAUAAAGAUUUAUCGCCAAAAGAUGAGUCCGCGUACGAUUAGCUAGUUGGUGAGGUAAUGGCUCACCAAGGCGACGAUCGUUAGCUGGUCUGAGAGGACGAUCAGCCACACUGGGACUGAGACACGGCCCAGACUCCUACGGGAGGCAGCAGUGGGGAAUAUUGGACAAUGGGGGCAACCCUGAUCCAGCCAUGCCGCGUGAGUGAUGAAGGCCUUCGGGUUGUAAAGCUCUUUUGGCGGGACGAUGAUGACGGUACCCGCAGAAUAAGCCCCGGCUAACUUCGUCGCCAGCAGCCGC